This 466-nucleotide ribosomal RNA is filed under the name uncultured bacterium. Its description in RNAcentral is "partial 16S ribosomal RNA". It matches the Rfam family "Bacterial small subunit ribosomal RNA", at positions 28 to 507 of the family's 1533-position model. The record is from RNAcentral.
GAUGAACGCUGGCGGCGUGCUUAACACAUGCAAGUCGAACGAUGACCCCGUGCUUGCACGGGUGAUUAGUGGCGAACGGGUGAGUAACACGUGAGUAACCUGCCCCCGACUUUGGGAUAAGCCCGGGAAACUGGGUCUAAUACCGGAUAUGACUUCUUACCGCAUGGUGGGUUGUUGAAAGAUUUAUCGGUGGGGGAUGGACUCGCGGCCUAUCAGCUUGUUGGUGGGGUAAUGGCUCACCAAGGCGACGACGGGUAGCCGGCCUGAGAGGGUGACCGGCCACACUGGGACUGAGACACGGCCCAGACUCCUACGGGAGGCAGCAGUGGGGAAUAUUGCCCAAUGGGCGAAAGCCUGAUGCAGCGACGCCGCGUGAGGGAUGACGGCCUUCGGGUUGUAAACCUCUUUCAGUAGGGAAGAAGCGAAAGUGACGGUACCUGCAGAAGAAGCGCCGGCUAACUACGUG